RNAcentral lists this long non-coding RNA (267 nucleotides) under Lathyrus oleraceus (garden pea). Its description in RNAcentral is "Pisum sativum (pea) long non-coding RNA (PSAT_LNC025330)". Lineage: Eukaryota; Viridiplantae; Streptophyta; Magnoliopsida; Fabales; Fabaceae. The record is from RNAcentral.
CUAAGCACAAAUUUAAAAGUUAAGUGUUGAAAAGAUCUGACCAAUGGGAUGCAAUCCAAUAGACAAGAAUGUCAUACAGAAACCCAAGUUUUCCUUGGACUUUAUAAUCAAGAAAUAUCAAUACACAAAUAGCAAGAUGAAGGGCAAAACAUCAAAUAAAGAUAGCCACAUCCAAGCUAGCAACUCCAUGAUCUUCUUCAUAAUCUUCCCCAUGUAUCAAAUGACAUACUGCUUGAAUGGCUCAAAAUAAGGCAUUAGACACUCAAC